Molecule: ribosomal RNA, 403 nt
Filed under: Triticum aestivum (bread wheat)
Lineage: Eukaryota; Viridiplantae; Streptophyta; Magnoliopsida; Poales; Poaceae
Description: partial small subunit ribosomal RNA
Source: RNAcentral
CACUCUCUCCCGCAGGAUUGUCCCGUCGCCGCCCUGGAAGCUCCAGCGACCCCCACAUCACCAGAUCUGGCGGAUCCCGGCCUUCUUCGCCCGUUCCUGGUCCUCCUCCGCGCCUCACCGUCGGCGAGCCCCCGUCGUCCACCGCCACUGUUGCGUCCUCCUCCCUGCUCGUGCAGAGGCACGCUGACGAUGAGCAGGACCUGCUCGCUCCGCUUGUAGGCCCCGCCGUGGGCCAGAUCCAUCCAAGGCCCAGGAGCCCCUUGCCAGGCCUCUUUUCCACCGAACGGGCCUUGGCCCAUGUGAGCAGCGCCCAGCCCCUAUCCUGUGUUUGUUGGGCUAGUUCGAUAAUGUCGCGUUUGUGAGGAUCCGUUCGACUACGUCCGCUUGUCCUCUUCAUGGACUC